CUUGUGGAGGCGUCCAGGGUCCCUGCGUCUGGGAAGGCAGCAGGCUGAAGCCCCUGGUCUGUGGUGGACUUGGGACCCCACAGACGGUUCCGCAGCAGGUUCAGGCCUGUGCAGGAGAGGGUGCAGCGCGGCAGGCUGGGGUGGGGGUCGGCUGCCAUUGGGGUAGGGAGCUAGGCGACCUUCCGUUACCCCUUUACCAGCUCCCAGCCCCUCCUCGCCAGCUUCCCACCAGAUGCUCCCUCCUUUCCUGUCCUCAGAAGCCUGGUUGCUGCUUGCCCUGUGUGGACUCCCCUGCCUUCUGCUCUCCCGGCACUCUGGGUCUCCGCGAGGGUCUCUCUUUGACCCCACACGUGCAGACUUUGUCUGUGGAUGGCAGUGCACUCCACGAAGGGGUGGAGAGGUGCCGGGGCCUCGGUGCGGGCGAGAGGGCGCAGUGCAGUCCAAGCGGCUGCAGAGGGCUCUAGCGCAGCAAAGCUGGUUGGACCCAAGCUCUGACCCCUCUGCCCUCAAAGCCCGGGUUACCGAGCCCUCAUGAGCACCAAGAACGAAGAGAAGUAAAAAGGGACACUUGUGACCUGCUGGGGGCUGAGCCACCGCUAACCCCAAGAAAAGUCUAGAGAACAAGAAAAGAACCACAGCAAACCUGGGACCCUGCAGGACGAAUCGGGGAGGGAUUCGUGCUUUUUACUUGCAAUAAAAUCUGUAAAGUUCUUGAAUAGGAAACA
Molecule: long non-coding RNA, 725 nt
Filed under: Homo sapiens (human)
Lineage: Eukaryota; Metazoa; Chordata; Mammalia; Primates; Hominidae
Description: novel transcript
Source: RNAcentral